UUUAUGGAGAGUUUGAUCCUGGCUCAGGAUGAACGCUGGCGGCGUGCCUAAUACAUGCAAGUCGAGCAAACGGACGAGAAGCUUGCUUCUCUGAUGUUAGCGGCGGACGGGUGAGUAACACGUGGAUAACCUACCUAUAAGACUGGGAUAACUUCGGGAAACCGGAGCUAAUACCGGAUAAUAUUUUGAACCGCAUGGUUCGAAAGUGAAAGACGGUCUUGCUGUCACUUAUAGAUGGAUCCGCGCUGCAUUAGCUAGUUGGUAAGGUAACGGCUUACCAAGGCAACGAUGCAUAGCCGACCUGAGAGGGUGAUCGGCCACACUGGAACUGAGACACGGUCCAGACUCCUACGGGAGGCAGCAGUA
This 366-nucleotide ribosomal RNA is filed under the name Staphylococcus aureus. Its description in RNAcentral is "bacterial SSU rRNA". It matches the Rfam family "Bacterial small subunit ribosomal RNA", at positions 1 to 356 of the family's 1533-position model. The record is from RNAcentral. Lineage: Bacteria; Bacillati; Bacillota; Bacilli; Caryophanales; Staphylococcaceae.